AUUUGAUAGGACAACUACUUUAGUCUUUAUUUAUAACCUAAUUAAUGUUAGAAUCCUUAAAUUUAACAAUAACAAAGCAAUAACGCCUCUGUUUUGGUAAAAAUCUGAAGACGUGUCUGGGUAAAUGUAACCUUUCUCAAAUUCAUAGACAGAGAUAUGGACGCAAGGACUACUGUAACCAUCCAAGAUACAGAAAUGCAUGGGUUCUGAACAGGUGGCCUGAAAACCAGGACACUUUACCUGAGCCUGAGGAGAAGAGAAGCCCUGACAACUAACCAAUGCAUUUUGCCAGGACUCCUGAAGGGAUGAGCUGGGCUGGAGGAUGCAUGGCAUCAUCGCGGGCAACAGGGACACUUUGUUAUACAGUAUGAGGUGACUGAGGAGCUGAACAGACAUAUCCUGCAGUAUGACAUUCAGCUGCUACUACUAGGAAGUGAAAACGCUGAUUUUCUACUAAGUGAGAUGUGAAAUAACAACUAAUC
Oncorhynchus tshawytscha (Chinook salmon) is the source of this 482-nucleotide long non-coding RNA. Lineage: Eukaryota; Metazoa; Chordata; Actinopteri; Salmoniformes; Salmonidae. The record is from Ensembl.